This is a long non-coding RNA of Poecilia latipinna (sailfin molly), 855 nucleotides long. RefSeq lists it as uncharacterized. The transcript has 2 exons. The record is from RefSeq and is a predicted model, not a curated record. Lineage: Eukaryota; Metazoa; Chordata; Actinopteri; Cyprinodontiformes; Poeciliidae.
AAACAUUUCUUGUGCAAAAUUUGCAACAAUAUUGCUUGUAUUCCAGCUUGUCAGAAGAUAUGAAAAGUGCAUUUUAUGAUCAUAGUAAGUAGGGAGGCUUUAUCUAUAUCCUGGCCUUUUUCUGAGAACUACCACUACUUGGUUAUAACGAAGUAAGGCCAGACUUGGAGUUUUUUUACUGGUUUGUUUGAAAUAUGACACUGAAGCUGUGAUAAUACAAGAAUAUUAUCUUUUAUGAGAACUCUGUACCACACUGUGCUAAAAUGAGGAAUACUGAGGGUCUUGUAAAGUUAUUGUUGGUGUUGGUUUUACAAAUAAGAAAAUACUUAAUCUUUUAACACAUCAGCCGCAGGACUUUGAAAUGAUUAUUUAAAAAACUGUUUAGUUCAAAGAACUUGCUGAGCUAUUCACGUCAGGUCUUGAUAACUAUAGAAGCUUUUUUUCUUACUAAAGUGGCGUUUUUUUUCUUGUCUUUUAAAGACUUUAUAGUUGUAACUAUUCACGUAAUAUUACUUUAUUCAUCAUACUUAUAACACUCAUGUUGCAAUAAAAUUUGUGAAAUUUCAUUGUCACAAAUUUCUCUACCCCUCCUCUAUUUUGGUAGAUAUGUUUCUAAACAUCCGCGCUCGUAUCGUCAGCUCCGUUAACGUAGACGCCUCAUGGACCACUCUUGCCUAUUUUCAUUGACUUGACAUAAGGCGGCCAUCUUGGAGCGGUUGCCCCCUCUCCUAGGUGCUAUAUGCUUGGCAGGCGCAGUGCAAUAUCACCGCAUUUAAUCAAUCAUAUCUCGAUAAGUACUAAACAAAUUUUCACACUGUUUUGCUGAAAACAUUAUUAAAACGGCUAUCAUAGCUA